This 494-nucleotide ribosomal RNA is filed under the name uncultured bacterium. Its description in RNAcentral is "partial 16S ribosomal RNA". It matches the Rfam family "Bacterial small subunit ribosomal RNA", at positions 28 to 507 of the family's 1533-position model. The record is from RNAcentral.
GACGAACGCUGGCGGCGUGCUUAACACAUGCAAGUCGAACGGUGAAGCGCCUUCCUUUUUGGUGGGUGUGGAUGAGUGGCAAACGGGUGAGUAACACGUGAGUAACCUGCCCCCUUCUUCUGGAUAACCGCAUGAAAGUGUGGCUAAUACGGGAUAUUCCGGGUCUGUCGCAUGAUGGGUCUGGGAAAGAUAUUGUUUCGGUGGGGGAUGGGCUCGCGGCCUAUCAGCUUGUUGGUGGGGUGAUGGCCUACCAAGGCGGUGACGGGUAGCCGGCCUGAGAGGGUGGACGGUCACACUGGGACUGAGACACGGCCCAGCCUCCUACGGGAGGCAGCAGUGGGGAACAUUGCACAAUGGGCGCAAGCCUGAUGCAGCGACGCCGCGUGAGGGAUGGAGGCCUUCGGGUUGUGAACCUCUUUCGCCAGUGAAGCAGGCCUGCCUCGUUUGUGGGUGGGUUGACGGUAGCUGGAUAAGAAGCGCCGGCUAACUACGUG